GAUGAACGCUGGCGGCGUGCCUAAUACAUGCAAGUCGAGCGAACGGACGAGAAGCUUGCUUCUCUGAUGUUAGCGGCGGACGGGUGAGUAACACGUGGAUAACCUACCUAUAAGACUGGGAUAACUUCGGGAAACCGGAGCUAAUACCGGAUAAUAUUUUGAACCGCAUGGUUCAAAAGUGAAAGACGGCCUUGCUGUCACUUAUAGAUGGAUCCGCGCUGCAUUAGCUAGUUGGUAAGGUAACGUCUUACCAAGGCAACGAUGCAUAGCCGACCUGAGAGGGUGAUCGGCCACACUGGAACUGAGACACGGUCCAGACUCCUACGGGAGGCAGCAGUAGGGAAUCUUCCGCAAUGGGCGAAAGCCUGACGGAGCAACGCCGCGUGAGUGAUGAAGGUCUUCGGAUCGUAAAACUCUGUUAUUAGGGAAGAACAUAUGUGUAAGUAACUGUGCACAUCUUGACGGUACCUAAUCAGAAAGCCACGGCUAACUACGUG
This 497-nucleotide ribosomal RNA is filed under the name uncultured bacterium. RNAcentral's name for it is "partial 16S ribosomal RNA". It matches the Rfam family "Bacterial small subunit ribosomal RNA", at positions 28 to 507 of the family's 1533-position model. The record is from RNAcentral.